Phacochoerus africanus (Common warthog) is the source of this 2799-nucleotide long non-coding RNA. RefSeq lists it as uncharacterized. The record is from RefSeq and is a predicted model, not a curated record. The transcript has 8 exons. NCBI's taxonomy places the organism in Eukaryota, Metazoa, Chordata, Mammalia, Artiodactyla, Suidae.
CCCCUCCCCCUGCACCCCCCCCCCCUCCCACGCGCACCGCCCCGCUCGACUGCCGCCUCCCGCCAGCAGCUUCUGGAAAACGGCGCGCCGGCCCCCCGGGGCAGGAAGAAGGGCCAAAGAAGAGGGGGAAGGGGCUAGGACUUCCUGAGCACCAGCCUCCGAAGGCCUGAGGGAAGGGGAUUUCAGUUCUGAGUCGAAAAGUGAAGACCACUUAUGGGCAAAAUUGUAAAGCAGAGGAAGGGAAGAAAAUGGAAGAAGCAAGAACCAAGGAUUGAGAGGACCUGCCAUGUGCCAGGCCAGCCCCCCUUGAAGUAAGAAAUGUCAUCAGGGUACUAAGAGAUAAAUAAGAAUGGAAACUUCCGGAAGAAAGAAAUCCACUAAGGACUGAAAUCUGUUUUCCACACCUAAAUUUUGGAGGGCUGGUGUUGGACUCUCCUCAUAGGGAAAGUCUAUCACAAAAUGUCCAUCCUCUUCACAAGAGUGACCAGAAAAUGGACAGGCAUUUCUGCUCCAUAGAGUCCCAGGCAGUGUGAUGCUGGUUUGUGAGACAUCACUGGAAUCUUACCUGGACAGACCAGAAUCACAAGAACAGGAAAAUGAACAUCCUUCCAUUAGAAUCGCAGUCCGAAGACGACACUUCAGCAACUGUUACUGCAUUUGGCUUUGACCGGGUCAAAGGAAUUGAGCCCAUCCUCUCCUGCCUGACAAGUACCAUAUUAUCUGAAGCCCCAAAUACCCAGUGCUGAACUUUCCCUAUUUCUACUGAUAAAAUCACCAAGAGGUUAUAGUGUCCAGCAACAGCGAAAUCCCUUGUAAAGGAGAGGAAACAAAAUUUGAAGAAAGAAAUGUAAAGUUUCCAAGGGUGACAAUUCAUGGAAUUUAGGAAUUGCUGGGACUGAGUUGUUUCAUUUAAAGCUCCAAUAUUUGUUAAGAUUUUGCCACCUUCAUCUCUGUGACAGACUAUAUGAUGCAGAGAUGUGCACUGAAACCAAUUACGUGGAAUGGAAAAUUCUGCCUUUGAAGUUGGUCUAGUCACUGCAAAAUGUACCAAGUCUGUUCAAGUGUGUGGGCUUCCAGAGCGUAAGUAGCACAAACAUCAGAGGUUUUUUUAAACCUGUUCUAUCUAGUUUAAUAGGUCAGAACUUCAAGUUUGAUUAAAUUUUGCAAUCCCCUGUUACCUGAUUUCUGUUCAGCCUAGACUAAUUACUUUCAGGACCUUGCUAAUUGGGAUGACUGGCAAAGACAAUUUGUCAUGUGGCUCAUUUUUCUUAAUAUUUUUCAAUAUUUAGUGCUCAAUGUUUAUAAAGUUAUAGUAAAUUAGAUUAGUAUUCACAAAUGUCAACAUGCACUUCCCACAAUUUAGCAUUUCAAGGUCAUUGUUGACCCUCUAAUCUUCGAUAGACCAUCUGAGAUUAUGGUACUAAAUUCCAUAUGUAAUUAUAACUUGGCCACAGAAAAGUUUUUCUCCACGGGGAUUCCAGGUAAAUUGUUCUUUCUUGGCAUUCUUUUUGCCCAUGAAAUGAGGAGAACUGAAGUAAUUCUUCUUUUAAAUUGAGAUGCCCCUUGAGGUGGCAACAUCUUAACAAUGUGGGCAUAGAAAUCAGUGGGAAAAAAUGACCAAUAAGAGAUGUUAGUCUGAAAAGUUUGGAAAACAUAUUUUUAUACAAGCCUACAACUGAAAUCAGAUCCCAAACUUCCCACGCGGUACUGGCUACAUGUCCCUCAAGUCAAGGGGGAUGGUGUGACCAUCCGUCACUCUUAAACAUCACAGUGUCCUAGGGCUCCAGAAUGUGAGACCCAAAGCCUAAAUCUGUUGGGAUAUUUAUGCUACCUGCUCAAUGAUAGUCCUCCUGGAAAAGCAGGUAAUUGAUAAGUGAAUGAACCAGUGAGUAUACUCACAAACCUCAAACAUUGAUUUAAUAAGACCAAAUGACUUCUGAGGCUUUGCUUUCUGCCUGGUAAUUUACAUCCAGGAUCUCAUUUAAUCCUAACACUACUGUAAUACUACUUGCCCAAAGAGCCUAGUUCAGGCUAAAUCAGUUAGGUGGAAGUUUGUGAAUGUGGCUGUGCACCUAUUUUUGCUCUCUAUUGCGUUCAGCCUUGAACACUCGGAGGCAGGCAGAACACAGGCUCUGGCUCCUGGAGCCUGUAUUCCACUGUGGGGGCCUGGGGCAGUGGGGUGUGUGCAGAUUACAAAGCAACACUGAUGGAAGUACACGGUGAGAAGUCCCUGGAUAAUAAGGUGUUCAAACUGCUUUGUGAAUAGUGGGAGGCAUUCUGCGUGGGGUUUUAGGGGUAGUAGAAAGAUCUGGAAGGCUUCACAGAAGGUAACGGUUAAGUUGGACUUUAGAAGACUGAAAAGGAAUUUAUCAACAGAAAAGAUGGGGUAGCAUGGGUCGUUUUAGGGAGAUGUUCAACAACAUUUUGUGUGUCAGAAGUGAGGGGACUUCUGCCCUAACUCAGGGUGGUUGGCAUCAGAAUUGCAUUGCAAUGAUCAAGCUGAGAAAUAAAUAGGAGAUGAUUAUCAUAUAUAAGACAUUUUACUCCAUGAGGGAAACUGUAGAAAAUAAAGAUGCCAUUUUCAAGAUAGCUAAAAUCAGAAGAACUAAGAAGCAUAAUAUUGAUAAAAUCUUUUAACUUUAACCUGGAGUCAGUCGCUUGCUCAUCUUUGUUCAUAUUCAUUUGUGUGGUUCAUUGUCUAAGCAGUGCCCGUUGAAAGCCAUGCAGGCAUUUGCAGGCACUCCAGGUUUAUAAGUAGCUAAACCAUCAAAUAAAUGUGACUUCAUCCAGACAGAAAUA